CUAAUAGAAAUCGUGUUCGAGUCAAUCCCUUCAUUGAUUUAUCUGAUGAAGAUUUCAGGCAAAAGUAUAGAUUUACUAAAUCUUUUGCAAUGAAAAUAGUAGAUUUAUUAAAGGACCCAAACUCGAGACACCCGUGAAUGCCCGGUGUCUCCCGAAAUCCAAGUGGUUUGCGCAUUGCGAAGCUGGGCUCGACAUGAGAUCCAAGAUGAUACAGCCGAUUUGCAUGGAGUCUCACAGCCCUUUAUAAGUAAAAUAUGCAAAAAAAUAGCAGGAGCCAUAGCCGGAAUAUCGCAUAGAUUUAUAAAAAUGCCUGCUACAUUGGCAGAACAAGAGGAAGCAAUGCGAAAAUUCCAUAGAAUUGCAAAUUUUCCUUCAGUAAUUGGUGCAAUUGACUGUACUCACAUAAGGGUAAAAAAAUUAUGUGAAGAUGGUGGUCAAAUAUAUAUCAAUCGCAAAGGAUUUCCAUCUAUUAAUGUCCAGGUAGUCUGCGAUGCAAAUUUAAAAAUAAUAGAUAUUGUUGCUAGGUGGCAUGGCAGUGUCCAUGACUCUCGAAUUUUUAGAGAAAGUCGACUAAAGCAGAGAUUUGAGGCUGGUGCCUUCUCAGGCAUUUUGCUUGGAGAC
This is a long non-coding RNA of Manduca sexta (tobacco hornworm), 621 nucleotides long. RefSeq lists it as uncharacterized. The transcript is spliced from 3 exons. The record is from RefSeq and is a predicted model, not a curated record. NCBI's taxonomy places the organism in Eukaryota, Metazoa, Arthropoda, Insecta, Lepidoptera, Sphingidae.